This 64-nucleotide transfer RNA is filed under the name Drosophila unipunctata. RNAcentral describes it as "partial tRNA-Ile". Lineage: Eukaryota; Metazoa; Arthropoda; Insecta; Diptera; Drosophilidae. The record is from RNAcentral.
AAUGAAUUGCCUGAUAAAAGGAUUACCUUGAUAGGGUAAAUUAUGCAGUCGCCUGCAUUCAUUA